Molecule: long non-coding RNA, 321 nt
Organism: Limulus polyphemus (Atlantic horseshoe crab)
Lineage: Eukaryota; Metazoa; Arthropoda; Merostomata; Xiphosura; Limulidae
Exons: 3
Source: RefSeq, a predicted model, not a curated record
AUUUAACAUUCAUUUUAAGUGUUUCAUAAAUUGAGCUAGCUUUGUUCUAACAGAAUAAACCAGCCUUUCCAAGUUCUCAUAGCUAAAACAUUUCAAUUUCUUACUAUGCUGGACAAUCACUUCUACUGUUUAUUCUGUAUUCAACUGUUCAAGAUGGAACCAUAUAGCAGACUGUUUUAAAAGAAAUCUUGCAUUGAUCCAACAUAACUAGAACUACCCAUGUGACUAGUCGUUCUCAUUACAACCAACGAAGGACUCUACUGUAGACAUCCUUUAAGUGAUGUUCUUCAAAGCCCAUAACAGAUAGAACAAAGGGAAAAG